Molecule: long non-coding RNA, 469 nt
Organism: Solanum dulcamara
Lineage: Eukaryota; Viridiplantae; Streptophyta; Magnoliopsida; Solanales; Solanaceae
Exons: 3
Source: RefSeq, a predicted model, not a curated record
AAAUUAGGGCCCAAUACAUGAUAUGGCCCAAGCCUUGAAAAUUUAGUUCAUUAAUUAUAUUGGCCCAUCAUCUAUUUAGUAUAUGUGUCUCUAGAAGUUUCAAGACUUCCAAAGAGAGCUAAGUCAUCUUCCAAAGAGAAGAAGAGACCGAUACUAGAGGAAGAAAAGGGGAAAAAUUUCAAGUUUUUCAACUUUGAUCCAAAAACCUUGUCUUCUUGAAUUCUUGUCAAGUUCGAGGCCCUCUUCAACGUGGUAUAAUUAAUUGAGCGAGAAAGUUUCAUUUGUGGCAAGUCAAAAAUUGAAGAAAAGAUUUUGGAAGAAACGGGAUUUGAAUUUGAGUGAGCGUAAGAAGCGGAUAAGGUAUAGACGUUCUGGAUCCAUCGGCGUAGGCUGCAUACCUUCUUCUACUACAGAGUGCUCUAUUGACUCGGAGCCGUAUUUUGGUAUAUGCCUUUCUGAUGUACACACU